UAGCCACGGGAAUACGUAGGGUGCGAGCGUUAAUCGGAAUUACUGGGCGUAAAGCGUGCGCAGGCGGUUGUGUAAGACAGGUGUGAAAUCCCCGGGCUCAACCUGGGAAUUGCAGUGGAUACUGGAUCACUAGAGUGUGGUAGAGGAUAGUGGAAUUUCCGGUGUAGCAGUGAAAUGCGUAGAGAUCGGAAGGAACAUCUGUGGCGAAGGCGACUAUCUGGGCCAACACUGACACUGAGGCACGAAAGCGUGGGGAGCAAACAGGAUUAGAUACCCCUGUAGUCCCUGUCUCUUAUACACA
Molecule: ribosomal RNA, 301 nt
Filed under: uncultured bacterium
Lineage: Bacteria
Description: partial 16S ribosomal RNA
Rfam family: Bacterial small subunit ribosomal RNA
Source: RNAcentral